GGGACUGUAGUUCAGUGGGAGAAUACUUGACUGGCAGUCAAGGGGUCAGGGGUUCGAAUCCCCUCAGUUCCACCA
This 75-nucleotide transfer RNA is filed under the name Isachenkonia alkalipeptolytica. RNAcentral's name for it is "tRNA-Ala". It matches the Rfam family "tRNA". Rfam says of the family: Transfer RNA (tRNA) molecules are approximately 80 nucleotides in length. Their secondary structure includes four short double-helical elements and three loops (D, anti-codon, and T loops). The record is from RNAcentral. Lineage: Bacteria; Bacillati; Bacillota; Clostridia; Eubacteriales; Clostridiaceae.